UACGAGGGGUGCAAGCGUUGUUCGGAAUUAUUGGGCGUAAAGGGCAGGUAGGUGGUCUUGAAAGUCUGCUGUGAAAUCCCCGGGCUUAACCUGGGAAGUGCGGCAGAUACUCCAAGACUAGAGUACUGGAGGGGUUCGUGGAAUUCCCGGUGUAGCGGUGAAAUGCGUAGAUAUCAGGAGGAACACCAAUGGCGAAGGCAGCUCGCUGGGACGUGACUGACGCUGAGACGCGAAAGCGUGGGGAGCAAACAGG
This 253-nucleotide ribosomal RNA is filed under the name uncultured bacterium. Its description in RNAcentral is "partial 16S ribosomal RNA". It matches the Rfam family "Bacterial small subunit ribosomal RNA", at positions 524 to 776 of the family's 1533-position model. The record is from RNAcentral.